CCUACGGGAGGCAGCAGUGGGGGAUAUUGCACAAUGGGGGGAACCCUGAUGCAGCGACGCCGCGUGGGUGAAGAAGCGCCUCGGCGCGUAAAGCCCUGUCAGCAGGGAAGAAAAUGACGGUAACUGAAGAAGAAGCCCCGGCUAACUACGGGCCAGCAGCCGCGGUAAUACGUAGGGGGCAAGCGUUAUCCGGAUUUACUGGGUGUAAAGGGGGCGCAGACGGCGAUGCAAGCCAGGAGUGAAAGCCCGGGGCCCAACCCCGGGACUGCUCGUGGAACUGCGUGGCUGGAGUGCAGGAGGGGCAGGUGGAAUUCCAGGUGUAGCGGUGGAAUGCGUAGAUAGCAGGAGGAACACCGGUGGCGAAGGCGGCCUGCUGGACUGCAACUGACGUUGAGGCCCGAAAGCGUGGGGAGCAAACAGGAUUAGAUACCCCGGUAGUC
RNAcentral lists this ribosomal RNA (440 nucleotides) under uncultured bacterium. RNAcentral describes it as "partial 16S ribosomal RNA". It matches the Rfam family "Bacterial small subunit ribosomal RNA", at positions 338 to 795 of the family's 1533-position model. The record is from RNAcentral.